AUCUUAUCCAGAGAGGCGGAGGGAAUUGGCCCGAAGAUGUCCGGCAACCUGCACAUGUGCAAGGUGCUAAAUCCAACAAAAUGUAAACCAUUUUGGAAGAUAAGGU
Molecule: non-coding RNA, 106 nt
Filed under: Bacillus sp. (in: firmicutes)
Lineage: Bacteria; Bacillati; Bacillota; Bacilli; Caryophanales; Bacillaceae
Also listed under: 1 other name
Description: Bacillus sp. SAM-I sequence
Rfam family: SAM riboswitch aptamer (S box leader)
About the family: The SAM riboswitch is found upstream of a number of genes which code for proteins involved in methionine or cysteine biosynthesis in Gram-positive bacteria.
Source: RNAcentral